RNAcentral lists this ribosomal RNA (524 nucleotides) under uncultured bacterium. RNAcentral describes it as "partial 16S ribosomal RNA". It matches the Rfam family "Bacterial small subunit ribosomal RNA", at positions 28 to 523 of the family's 1533-position model. The record is from RNAcentral.
GACGAACGCUGGCGGCGUGCUUAACACAUGCAAGUCGAACGGACAGACAGAGAGCUUGCUCUCUUGAGGUUAGUGGCGAACGGGUGAGUAACGCGUAAUCAACCUGCCCUUCAGAGGGGGAUAACAACGGGAAACCGUUGCUAAUACCGCAUACGAUUCAUGAACGGCAUCGUUUAUGAAUGAAAGGUGGCCUCUAUGUAUAAGCUAUCGCUGAAGGAGGGGAUUGCGUCUGAUUAGCUAGUUGGAGGGGUAACGGCCCACCAAGGCAAUGAUCAGUAGCCGGUCUGAGAGGAUGAACGGCCACAUUGGGACUGAGACACGGCCCAAACUCCUACGGGAGGCAGCAGUGGGGAAUCUUCCGCAAUGGACGAAAGUCUGACGGAGCAACGCCGCGUGAGUGAUGAAGGUCUUCGGAUUGUAAAGCUCUGUUAAUCGGGACGAAAGAGUUCUGCGUGAAUAAUGCAGAAAAGUGACGGUACCGGAAUAGAAGGCCACGGCUAACUACGUGCCAGCCGCCGCAGUAA